GACGAACGCUGGCGGCGUGCCUAAUACAUGCAAGUAGAACGCACAGUUUAUACCGUAGCUUGCUACACCAUAGACUGUGAGUUGCGAACGGGUGAGUAACGCGUAGGUAACCUGCCUGGUAGCGGGGGGUAACUAUUGGAAACGAUAGCUAAUACCGCAUAAUAUUGAUUAUUGCAUGAUAAUUGAUUGAAAGAUGCUAUUGCAUCACUACCAGAUGGACCUGCGUUGUAUUAGCUAGUAGGUGAGGUAACGGCUCACCUAGGCGACGAUACAUAGCCGACCUGAGAGGGUGAUCGGCCGCACUGGGACUGAGACACGGCCCAGACUCCUACGGGAGGCAGCAGUAGGGAAUCUUCGGCAAUGGACGAAAGUCUGACCGAGCAACGCCGCGUGAGUGAAGAAGGUUUUCGGAUCGUAAAGCUCUGUUGUAAGAGAAGAACGGGUGUGAGAGUGGAAAGUUCACACUGUGACGGUAUCUUACCAGAAAGGGACGGCUAACUACGUG
RNAcentral lists this ribosomal RNA (505 nucleotides) under uncultured bacterium. RNAcentral's name for it is "partial 16S ribosomal RNA". It matches the Rfam family "Bacterial small subunit ribosomal RNA", at positions 28 to 507 of the family's 1533-position model. The record is from RNAcentral.